GUCCGUGGGGCGCUGUGCGUCUCCGAGAACGAAGCGGCCUCCGGGUUCGUGUGCUCCGAGCCCGAGUACUGUUUGCGGCCGUCGUCCCGUCCUGGAGCAGGAGUGAGGAAGCGCCUCUCACUCCCCCGCGAACCCGCAGAACAGGCCGCCGGCGCUAUGGAGACCGGCGGAGCUUCCCGCUCCUUCACCAAGGGGCCCUGACGCGCAGUUGAAAGCGCGGAUUUUGCCGGGCGCGGCGGCUGCGUCCGGAGUCCCAGCGCCUUGGGAGGCGAGGCGGGAGGAUCCCCACGGCCCGGGAGCUCGAGACCAGCCCGGGCAAAUAUUUUGAAAGUCAUGGUAAAAGCCGCAAUUACUUUUGCACCAACCUAAUAGUGAGACCCUGUCUCGAAAAAGGGAAGGAGGAUUUUACUGUAUGUAAUUUAGAUGUUUUAUUUAUUUUUUGAUGCGGUGUCUUGCUCUGUCGCCCAGGCUGAAGUGCAGUGGCGCGAUCUCGGCUCACUGCAGCCUCCGCCUCCUGGGCUCAAGCGAUUCUCCUGCCUCAGCCUCCCAAGUAGCUGGGAUUACAGGUGCCCACCACCACGCCUGGCUAAUUUUUGCAUGUUUAGUAGAGACGGGGUUUCCUCAUGUUGGCCAGACUGGUCUCGAAUUCUUGAUGUCAAGUGAUCCACCAGCCUCGGCCUCCCAAAGUGCUGGGAUUACAGGCGUGAGCCACCGCGCCCCGCCUAAUUUAGAUAUUAUUAAAUGAAAAUGAAAGACCUGAAAAAUAUAAUUGAUAUCCUUGGUUAAAAACAUAAUUGAUCUGAGCGAGGUGGCUCAGGUCUGUAGUCUCAGCAACUCUGGAGCGUGAGGGGUGAUGGUAGUUUCAGUCCGGGAGUUCGAGGCUGCCAUGAGCGUGAUCUCGCCUGUGAAUAGCCACUGCACGCCAGCCUGACCAACAUAGCAAGACCCCAUCUCUUAAAAAAUAUCAUUGGAUGGUACUAAUGGUUGGUUGGGCACUACAGAAGAAAGGGUCAGUAAUUUUGAAGAUGGAUGAAAUGGAAAUUCAAACCACGAUGAGAUGCUGCUUGAAAUCCACCAGAAUGGCUAAAAUUUAAAAAUUGGCAAUAUCAAAUUUUGCUGGCAAGAGCAAACACUGAGUUAACCACCUUGGAAAAUAGUGAGGCAGUUUCUUUCAAAGUUAAACGUACACCUCUGCUGUAUUCUGAGUGUCUGUCCCCAGCGUUCGUAUGUUGAAACCCUAACCCCCCUUGGCCGGGCGUGGUGGCUCACGCCUGUAAUCCCAGCACUUUGGGAGGCCGAGGCGGGCAGAUCACGAGGUCAGGAGAUCGAGACCAUCCUGGCUAACACGGUGAAACCCAGUCUCUACUAAAAAAUACAAAAAAUUAGCCGGGCAUGCUGGAAGGCACCUGUAGUCCCAGCUACUCGGGAGGCUGAGGCAAGAGAAUGGUGUGAACCCGGGAGGCGGAGCUUGCAGUGAGCCAAGAUCGCGCCACUGCACUCCAGCCUGGGUGACAGAGCGAGACUCUGUCUCAAAAAAAAAAAGAAACCCUAACCCCCAAGGUGAUGGUAUUAGGAUGUGGGGCUUGUGGGAGGUGAUAGGUCAUGGGACAGAGCCUUAUAUACUUCCCUUAGAAGAGGCCCAAGAAGGCUGGGCACGGUGGCUCACACCUGUAAUCCCAGCACUUUGGGAGGUCGAGACAGGAGGAUCGCUUGAGCCCAGGAGGUGGAGACCAGCCUGAGCAAUAUGGCGAGACGCUGUCUGUGCUAAAAAUUUAAAAAAUUAGCUGAACGUGGUGGCACACGCCUUGAGGAGGGAGGAUUACUUGAGCCUGGGAGGUCAAGGCUGCAGUGAGCGAAGAUUGCGCCAUUGCCCUCCAGCCUGGGAGAGAGAGACCCUGUCUCAAAAAUAAAUAAAUAAACAAGUACGUACAUACAUACAUAAAAAGGUAAUUAUGUAAGUCCUCGUUACGGAGCCUCCAUACAUGAAGGGCUUUAGAGCCGAUUUGUUAAAUGGUCAGCUGUAGUCAGCUGUUGACACCCAGCGUCCACUCUCCAUUAAGUUAUUAAGAGCUUUUUCUUAGUUACAGAAGCUCUCAGUGGGCUGUGGAGACGCUGCCGUCUCCUGAACACAUCCAGCGACCACAUGACUAAGCAAAGGCAGCGGAGAGUGGACGGACGGUGAUGGACGCGGCCACGGAGCCCAAGCGCCCACAAUGCGCAUUCCUGUCUUUUCUCUCCCCGCUCACCUCAGAGCGGGACGGAAGGUGGGACUGGGAGAGCUGUUCUCGGGCAGGUGGACGCUGUGGAUUAGCGGAGAGGGAAGGCACUUUCGUUCUCGGCACCGUGAGGCUGUCCUGGUCAAUCCUGUUUUCAUGCUUGAGGGUCUCUGGUGCAGCAGCUCCACCAGCCUUGACACCAGGACUUCUGUGGAAUCCAGGUAAGCAGCCAGGGUCCUGAUAGGGCCAUGCCCUCACCCCCAUGUAAUGCAUCCACUCCCAGUUAAAUGAGAAAGGAACAAUCACAGGAAAACAUGGAGAACAACUCCACUGUUCAGAAGCCAACCCUAUAUUAGCUACUGUUUAGGUAGAAAUGAAAAACUUUGAGACGUAAACUCCUGCAGGUAGAAGUAGAUUUCCGGUGAAUGAACAAAAUGAAGCUUAUUAGAAUCAAUGGCCUCUUCUGAGAGCCGUUCUGAAUUUUUUUUUUUUUGAGACGGAGUCUUGCUAUGUCGCCCAGGCUGGAGUGCAGUGGCGCGAUCUCGGCUCACUGCAAGCUCCGCCUUCCGGGUUCACGCCAUUCUCCUGCCUCAGCCUCCCCAGUAGCUGGGACUACAGGCGCCCGCCACCACGCCCGGCUAAUUUUUUGUAUUUUUAGUAGAGACGGGGUUUCACCGCGUUAGCCAGGAUGGUCUUGAUCUCCUGACCUCAUGAUCCGCCCACCUCGGCCUCCCAAAGUGCUGGGAUUACAGUCGUGAGCCACUGCGCCCAGCCCUGAUUUUAUUCCUAGUUGUAAUUUAACUUCUACUUCAUUUCUGAUCCGAGAUCACAAAGGGGCCAUGUGAGCCCCAGGGACUGAGCGGAAGCUGAAGUCUCACAGCUCGAGGAUUUACUCCCAACGUGCUGGGAAAAGCCCUAGAUGAGCAGGGAGUAGCUAAUUUCUUUUCUUCCCCUUCUUUUUCAAUAUUAAUUGGAUUUCCUUAAAGGCCGUGUGUCUAUUAAGUUUGUUAUCAAUGGCUAUUUAGCACUUGUAGAAACCCAGCCGUAUGUUACAUACAGUAGGGUCUAGUCAGGAAAACAGCCCAGGCCAAGUGGUUCAGCAGAGGAAAUGCAGGGGCAGGGACGGCAACCGCAGGACGCCAGAGGCCCUCAGGUGGAGAUAACGGCCCUGAGUGGAAACGUACAGGCUCCAGAACCUGGUGGGACCUGGGCUGAUGCAGGGGAAUGAGGGGUUUCAGGGGAGCUACGGCCGUGACCAUCAGACGCCCAGCUGCAGGGACAGGCAGGUGGCGGGGGGGGGGGGUCUGUUUUCUGGGUGAAGAUGGGGGCAUUUUUGAAAGCAUUGGGAAGAUACACUUGACGUAUCUAUCCAGUCUCCAGAAAUGCACGUUUAACGCUCAGAAGGAAAUCUUGCAACAAUUGAAGUGCUGUGGGAGGCUCCGCGAGCAGAGACAAGAUUGUCCUUCUCUGGGUUUCAGGGCAUUUAGACAUGACACUCAAAAAUAUUUCACUGUGGGCCGGGCGCGGUGGCUCAUGCCUGUAAUCCUAGCACUUUGGGAGGCAGAGGCAGGUGAAUCACCUGAGGUCAGGGGUUCAAGACCAGCCUGAACAAAAUGGUGAAACCCCAUCUCUACUGAAAAUACAAAAAUUAGCCGGGCGUGGUGGCGGGAGCCUGUAAGCCCAGCUACUCUGGAGGCUGAGGCAGGAGAGUCACUUGAACCUGGCAGGCAGAGGUUGCAGUGAGCUGAGAUCGAGACACUGCACUCCAGCCUGGGCAACAAGAGUGAAACUCCGUCUCAAAAUAUAUCUAUUUCAUGUGAAGGUGAAAUCCAACCCCGACGAUGUGUAGAAAAGCCCAGCAAUCUCCCGCAAAUCCCUGAGCCGAUGGCCGCGGAGAUGGGUGUCCUGGUGGUGCUCCCAGAGCUGCCUCCCCAGGUGCCACCAGGACAUGCUGCCUUUGGGGCUAGAGGUUCCCACCUCAUCAGUAACGAGGGCAUCGCCAGCCCUCAGCUGCCUUGGGCGCCCACAGUCGGCUUUCACGCCUCCCAGAGGUUCCGCCACCUUCAGCCCUCACUUCAGAUGGAGUCAGAACUUAGAGAUGUGGACACUGUGAAGGUCACCGGCAGCCAGUGGUGGAGCCGGGGGAAGGGUGUAGGACGCCCCCACACACAGGUGAAGAGGGCACUGCCAGGGGGAGGGCUGUAGGACACCCCCACACAGAGGUGAAGAGGGCACUGCCAGGAGGAGGGCUGUAGGACGCCCCCACACACAGGCGAGCAGAGGGCGUUGCAAACAUGGGCAGAGGCGGCCCAGCAGCAGUUUAACAUUGCCCUGUGUCCAGGAGAAAGGCCACUGCCCAAGUAUGCUCUUUAUCGCAACCUGCAACAUUCCCCCUCAGACGGAAGCUUGUGUAGAGGCCGCCAAGUUCCAACAAAUGCUCCCGACUGUAGACGCCACCAAGUGCUGGGACUUGCUCUCGUCAUCUGGGAAAGGCUUGGGGACGCUGCCAGCAACUGUCAUGUUUAUCCAUCAAGCUAGACGGCGGAAGUGCAGUCGUCUUAGUUUCCCCCAUUAUCUGCUUCCUGCUUUUUUUUUUUAUCUCGAGUCUCAACUUUGUUGCCCAGGCUGGAGUGCAACGGCACGAACUCCACUCACUGCAGCCUCCACCUCCCGGCUUCAACAAUUCUCCUGCCUCAGCUUCCUGAGUAGCUGGGAUUACAGGCGCCCAUCACCACGCCCGGCUAAUUUUUGUAUUUUUAGUAGAGAUGGGGUUUCACCAUGUUAGCCAGGCGGGUUUCAAAUUCCUGAUCUUGAGUGAUUCACCCGCCUCAGCCUCCC
RNAcentral lists this long non-coding RNA (5054 nucleotides) under Homo sapiens (human). RNAcentral describes it as "non-protein coding lnc-PGAM5-3:4". Lineage: Eukaryota; Metazoa; Chordata; Mammalia; Primates; Hominidae. The record is from RNAcentral.